This 358-nucleotide unclassified non-coding RNA is filed under the name soil metagenome. Its description in RNAcentral is "partial contains 5.8S ribosomal RNA, internal transcribed spacer 2, and large subunit ribosomal RNA". The stretch from base 1 to 120 matches the Rfam family "5.8S ribosomal RNA", at positions 35 to 154 of the family's 154-position model. The record is from RNAcentral.
GAUGAAGAACGCAGCGAAAUGCGAUAAGUAAUGUGAAUUGCAGAAUUCAUUGAAUCAUCGAAUCUUUGAACGCACAUUGCGCCCGUCAGUAUUCUGGCGGGCAUGCCUGUUCGAGCGUCAUUACGCCCCUCAAGUCCCCUGUGGACUUGGUGUUGGGGAUCGGCGAGGCUGGUUUUCCAGCACAGCCGUCCCUUAAAUUAAUUGGCGGUCUCGCCGUGGCCCUCCUCUGCGCAGUAGUAAAACACUCGCAACAGGAGCCCGGCGCGGUCCACUGCCGUAAAACCCCCCAACUUUUUAUAGUUAACCUCGAAUCAGGUAGGACUACCCGCUGAACUUAAGCAUAUCAAUAAGCGGAGGA